GAUGAACGCUGGCGGCGUGCCUAAUACAUGCAAGUCGAGCGAACAGACGAGGAGCUUGCUCCUCUGACGUUAGCGGCGGACGGGUGAGUAACACGUGGAUAACCUACCUAUAAGACUGGGAUAACUUCGGGAAACCGGAGCUAAUACCGGAUAAUAUAUUGAACCGCAUGGUUCAAUAGUGAAAGACGGUUUUGCUGUCACUUAUAGAUGGAUCCGCGCCGCAUUAGCUAGUUGGUAAGGUAACGGCUUACCAAGGCGACGAUGCGUAGCCGACCUGAGAGGGGGAUCGGCCACACCGGAACUGAGACACGGUCCAGACUCCCACGGGAGGCAGCAGUAGGGAAUCUUCCGCAAUGGGCGAAAGCCUGACGGAGCAACGCCGCGUGAGUGAUGAAGGUCUUCGGAUCGUAAAACUCUGUUAUUAGGGAAGAACAAAUGUGUAAGUAACUAUGCACGUCUUGACGGUACCUAAUCAGAAAGCCACGGCUAACUACGUG
RNAcentral lists this ribosomal RNA (497 nucleotides) under uncultured bacterium. RNAcentral's name for it is "partial 16S ribosomal RNA". It matches the Rfam family "Bacterial small subunit ribosomal RNA", at positions 28 to 507 of the family's 1533-position model. The record is from RNAcentral.